Molecule: transfer RNA, 66 nt
Filed under: Ancistrocheirus sp. 2 FFA-2023
Lineage: Eukaryota; Metazoa; Mollusca; Cephalopoda; Oegopsida; Ancistrocheiridae
Description: tRNA-Trp
Source: RNAcentral
AAGAUUUUAAGUUAAUUAAACUGAGGGCUUUCAAGGCCUUUAAUAAAUACAUAUAUUUAAAUCUUG